GAGAGCCGACUGAAACUGAAGAGAGCAGUCUAUUGACAGUCGGUUACUCGAAAUCUUUACUGUCAUGGAGGCGCUCUCUUCAGAUGAUGUCUGGCCC
This is a microRNA precursor of Caenorhabditis elegans, 97 nucleotides long. Lineage: Eukaryota; Metazoa; Nematoda; Chromadorea; Rhabditida; Rhabditidae. The record is from Ensembl.